UACAGAGGUCCCGAGCGUUGUUCGGAUUCAUUGGGCGUAAAGGGUGCGUAGGCGGCGGGGCAAGUCUGAUGUGAAAUCCCGGGGCUCAACCCCGGAACUGCAUUGGAUACUGCCUUGCUUGAGUAUGGGAGAGGUGAGUGGAAUUUCCGGUGUAGCGGUGAAAUGCGUAGAUAUCGGAAGGAACACCUGUGGCGAAAGCGGCUCACUGGACCAUUACUGACACUGAGGCACGAAAGCUAGGGGAGCGAAUGGG
RNAcentral lists this ribosomal RNA (253 nucleotides) under uncultured bacterium. Its description in RNAcentral is "partial 16S ribosomal RNA". It matches the Rfam family "Bacterial small subunit ribosomal RNA", at positions 524 to 776 of the family's 1533-position model. The record is from RNAcentral.